CCAAAUAUUUACUUCCAGUUCAUUUGCUGUGUCCAACUAUUUGCUAUGUGUCUACCUUGACGGAGGUUUUCUCUAACUGCUGUGUCUGCUCAGCACAGAGACGUGCACCUGCUGUCUCAUGGGUACGGUCUGAACUGGGAGGACACCAUCCUAAGCAGGUGCAUUGUGACAUGAAAAUCCACCCUAGCUGAGCAGGCAGAUGUGUACUCCCACCUGCAAUGUGUCACUACUUAUACAUAUUUGUCCUGACCUGUGAUGUCUCUCUAGUCACCCAGUGGUAACUAUUCUGACCAGGUGUCUCUACCCUGACUUGGAAUAUCUCCCUGACUCUCCAAGUGUGUCCUAACUGACCUAGGAUGGCUCCCCAGUUCCACAGGUUUGCAGUGUCUAAUUCUGUACGUGUGUCUAUCAAAAGAAAAUGCAAUGAGUUUUAUUGAGGUGAAUAUUGAGCAGGGAAAUAAACAUUUUGGGAACCGAGAAACAUUCAAACUGAAAGUGGCUAAGAAACUCUGCUCUCGGCUAUUACAGCUCAGUUUAUAAAGCAUAAAUAUGGUAUCCAUCCAUGAGCAAAAGUGCCUCUGGGAUACAGCUCCAUAUGCCAAAGGAUCUGGGAAGAGUGUCACCCAACUGUGCAUCCAGUAGUAAGCACACAGAUCUCCAUAGGGACUGCAAACCCGGCUGGAGCCAGGGAGCCUGCCCAAGCCCUCUCACUGCCGUCAAGGAAACCUUGAGAGUGCUAACUUGGACAGACACCCACAGGCAAGGGAGGCCUUGUGGGAGUCCAGCCUGCCCCAAGGGGAGGUUUCAGCAUGUCCUUGGAGUCUGGAUGUACUGGAAAUGGUAAGAAGAACUUUGCCAGUACCACCCCUCCACAAAGGUGACACUUACAGGGGGCUCAACAAACAGGCAGCAACCUCUCCCAUGGUGGGAGGGAGAACCUGGAGUACAUGGCUUCCCCAGCUAUGUGGGAUACUGCAGGAGAAACCCAUUUCUCUCUGGCAGCACCCAGAGUACUGAGGCAGGAUGUCCAUGACUCUAGGGAAGAGAAGAUCAGAGAGCACUGGAGGGACACCAUCCUGACGACAGGAUGUCAACUAGAAGUUCACCCAUGAGCUUCUGAAAGAACCUCACCUGAGGAUCCCCAGCACCCACAGUACUGAACCCACACCUCCCCAGUGCUGUGGCUGGCUCCCUGGGCACAGAGGAGACACCAUCCAGGUAUCUGUAGUGCCCCCUUCUGGGAAAUGAGACAGGUAAGUUCUACAGACCAGAGAAGACAUUCAAGCUCAAGAAUUAUCCCUCAAGAGGGGGCAGAAGCAUGGAGCAGGUGCAUCCACACAGAGACAGAGAAAGUCCAGAUCUAACAGUACCAACUAACAGCACCUCCCACCUGAAGGCAACUUGCAAAGACUGAGGUGGCGUCCACCACUCCACAUCCCAGAGCAGGAACACAAAACUACAAGGAAUGUGAAGAAUCAAGGAAUAUGUCACCACCAAAAGGUAACAAUAAUCCUCCAAUAACCAAACAUAAAGGCUGAAUGAAGUUUGUGAUCUAGCUGCUGGCAGUGGCACAAAAACAGACAUAUAGAACCAUGGAACAGAAUAGAGAGCCCAGAUAUGGACCUUCGACAAAGGAGGAAAAAAUAUG
This is a long non-coding RNA of Zalophus californianus (California sea lion), 1648 nucleotides long. RefSeq lists it as uncharacterized. The transcript is spliced from 6 exons. Lineage: Eukaryota; Metazoa; Chordata; Mammalia; Carnivora; Otariidae. The record is from RefSeq and is a predicted model, not a curated record.